UACAGAGGGUGCGAGCGUUAAUCGGAGUUACUGGGCGUAAAGGGCGCGUAGGUUGUUAUAUAAGUUAGUUGUGAAAUCCCCGGGCUUAACCUGGGAACUGCAACUAAUACUGUGUGACUAGAGUACUGUAGAGGGUAGUGGAAUUUCCGGUGUAGCGGUGAAAUGCGUAGAGAUCGGAAGGAACACCAGUGGCGAAGGCGGCUACCUGGACAGAUACUGACACUGAGGCGCGAGAGCGUGGGGAGCAAACAGG
This 253-nucleotide ribosomal RNA is filed under the name uncultured bacterium. Its description in RNAcentral is "partial 16S ribosomal RNA". It matches the Rfam family "Bacterial small subunit ribosomal RNA", at positions 524 to 776 of the family's 1533-position model. The record is from RNAcentral.